CCUACGGGGUGCAGCAGUGGGGAAUAUUGCGCAAUGUGCGAAAGCCUGACGCAGCGACGCCGCGUGAGGGAUGAAGGUCUUCGGAUCGUAAACCUCUGUCAGCAGGGACGAACGGUCACUGUGCUAAUCAGCAGUGAAUUGACGGUAUCUGCAAAGGAAGCACCGGCUAACUCCGUGCCAGCAGCCGCGGUACUACGGAGGGUGCGAGCGUUAAUCGGAAUUACUGGGCGUAAAGCGCUCGUAGGCGGUAUGGCAAGUCAAGGGGGAAAUCCCCGCGCUCAACGUGGGAACUGCCUUUGAAACUGGCAAACUGGAGUGUGUGAGAGGAUAGUGGAAUUCCAGGUGUAGGAGUGAAAUCCGUAGAUAUCUGGAGGAACAGCAGUGGCGAAGGCGACUAUCUGGCACAUAACUGACGCUGAGGAGCGAAAGCGUGGGUAGCAAACAGGAUUAGAUACCCGGGUAGUC
Molecule: ribosomal RNA, 465 nt
Filed under: uncultured bacterium
Lineage: Bacteria
Description: partial 16S ribosomal RNA
Rfam family: Bacterial small subunit ribosomal RNA
Source: RNAcentral